GAGACAGGUGGUGCAUGGUUGUCGUCAGCUCGUGUCGUGAGAUGUUGGGUUAAGUCCCGCAACGAGCGCAACCUUGUGUUUAGUUGCAAACAAGGUCAAGCUGUGCACUCUAGACAGACUGCCGUGGACAACACGGAGGAAGGUGGGGGAUGACGUCAAAUCAUCAUGCCCCUUAUGAUCUGGGCUACACACGUGCUACAAUGGCCGGUACAACGGGCAGCGAAGGAGCGAUCCGGAGCGAAUCCUAAAAAGCCGGUCCCAGUUCGGAUUGCAGGCUGAAACUCGCCUACAUGAAGUUGGAGUUGCUAGUAAUCGCGAAUCAGAAUGUCGCGGUGAAUGCGUUCCCGGGUCUU
RNAcentral lists this ribosomal RNA (353 nucleotides) under uncultured Fusibacter sp. RNAcentral's name for it is "bacterial SSU rRNA". It matches the Rfam family "Bacterial small subunit ribosomal RNA", at positions 1031 to 1382 of the family's 1533-position model. Lineage: Bacteria; Bacillati; Bacillota; Clostridia; Eubacteriales; Fusibacteraceae. The record is from RNAcentral.